CCCGCACUCACCGGCGCUGGGGGCUCCUCAUCCUCCGCGCGGCGACGGCAGGCCAAGGGGGAGGGGGCCCGCUCCCCGCCGCGCUCCGCGGGCCGGUCCCGGGGCCCCGACGGCUCCGCUGAGAAGGGGGCGAAGGCGGAGAGCUUCUGAACAGAGAGCAGCUUCUGUGGCUCCUUAGGAAGUCAAUGAAGUCUCCAACAACCACCAGCCAUGUAAGCCUAUAAAAGGCCCAGGACCUUACCGAAUGAUGCUGUUACAGUGCCCGCAGAGAGGAGUUCGGCUGCUGGCUGGAAAACGCUCCGCCCUCUGAACUGUUCCCCGGGCUAAUGCAGGGGGCUGGGAAGAAGGUGAAACUGGAGACGGAGUGCUGCUGCACAGGGUACACUGCUUUAACCCUCUGGAUGGAAUAACCCAUCCCUGAAGAGCUUCAAGCUUAUUCAAAACUCUCCUGCUGUGCUUGCUUCUUUUAAGUAAGAUUAGCAAGUCAAUCAUCAAGUGUCCACCAUGCUUUACUGAUAUCUGCUGUGACACAGUAAGCUCAAUCAUGUGUGAUCCUAUGACAGCCACUGAAAAUGUAACACCCACACGAUCCAGAAGCUGCUGGAAUUGGAAGAACUGGAACAUCUGCCUUUGAGGCAGUGGGCAUUUCCAUCUGAAGGAGUUAGAGGUUGUUAUUACCAAACCAUUGCAAAGCUCCAAACCGGGUCAGUGAUGCAGUUACACGGCACAGUGUACCUUUGGUUACUGGAUGAAGCAAGAGGGGCUUUCUGGCCAACACCGGCCUCCCCCUGGCUUGUACCUGCUCCAAGCCUCACAGACCCCUUGGAGGCCACUGGCUGAGCAUUGGCAGUGUUGGCAUCCCUGGUGGAUGACUUAGGAGGAUGCCAAAUACUCGAGGUCACAUACUGGGGCGCAUGCGCGGUACCUGCAGGCCUGGGUGACAGAGAUUACAAGGGUGUUUGUAAAUGAGGCAUUUCCUAGGGAACAGCAGGGGUUUGAGGGACGGACAGAAUUCCAGCCACAGGUGGAGCUGGAGAUCAUAAUGACAAUGGAGAUGAAGUAAUCUUGAUAGUUCGUUGGUUAAUUAUUGCUUAAGACCAGGAAAGGCUUGACAAAUUAAAAAAGGUACCUUGUGUUAAAUCUGGAAAUCAUAUUGCUAUGAAUAUCAAAAUAAGCAGAGCUGUGAUGGUAAUGGAGGUGGAGAAAGGCUGUGGUAUGACAGAUCACACCAGAUUAAGGCAACAUAGGAGGACAAUAACACCAGUCAUAUAUCAGAAAAUGUCCCUGGCAAAAUAAAAUAAUAGUUAAAAGAAAAGGAGAUUUCAGUGAAGCAGCUGCAUAGUCCUUUAAAUGGUUUUACACAAAUGAAACUGCUGGUGAAGUUCUAACAUGCAUCGCUUGUUCUUUACAAUUUAAUUUAUAUUCAGGAAUCAAGGGGUUUAUUUCCUUUCUUUUUUAAUUAUUCAUUUAAAAAUAAAAAUCAAUUUUCCCAACUGUUCAAGUGCCAGUUGCCAUUGCUUGUGUCAUUAUUAACAAAUAUUGCUUGCACUCAGAUAUUAACUCUAUGCAACCUUCGUUCAAAUAUAAGCAGUCUUAAAAAAAAAAAAAACCAAAAUAAAAAGUGGUUGCAUAUCACUGAGGCAGGAAUCAAAAACAAAGAGAAAAGCAGUAGUAUAA
Molecule: long non-coding RNA, 1677 nt
Organism: Passer domesticus (house sparrow)
Lineage: Eukaryota; Metazoa; Chordata; Aves; Passeriformes; Passeridae
Exons: 6
Source: RefSeq, a predicted model, not a curated record